UCUGUAUAUUAUUUAUUUGAUUGUUUAUUAGUUUUCUUAUGUGGGAAGAAAUGCUUUCCCCACUCCAGGACUAAGAAGAAGUCUCAGUGGCUCUCAGAGCCUGGAGUGCUUCUCUGGUAUCGUUGCAGGCUGCUCCUUCCCACCAGAGGCUUGUCUAGGCUGGAGGGAGGCAGCUUUGGUAAGGGCAUUGUUGUUUCAGGCACAGGAGCAGCCUUCACACAGGUCCUGGCUGUUGCUGUGUUUCCCAGUUGCAAUUGCUCAGGUAGGCUAAGGCUCCCCAGAAUAUAGACUGGCAUUGCAAAUGAAGAAAAAAGAACAAUAAAAACACAACUUUUAAGAUGAAAAACUCAAGCUGGAAGUCCAAGGAUAGCUCUGGAGACCCUGCUGGGGGAGGAUCUGAGUAGGUAGUAGAGUGGAACAGAGAGAAAAAAGGACAUCUGCAGAGACCCUUGCACAUAAAGACGGGAAGGAUGAAAAACAGUCACUCUCAGGAAUAAGAUCUUGAUAUAUGAUAACAAGUGGUGGGGAAGGCAGGGAUUGUUUAGUACCCACUGCGGGGACAAAUUUGGCAAAUAUUCAGGUUGAUUCUUACAUAAGAUUCAACAUUGAAGAAAAGAAAACCUAUGCCUUCUAGAUAGAGUCAAGACUUAAAAUUGUCAAUAAAAAUAAUCACCAGGACAAAAUAAAAUUGAAUAUGUAUCAAGUUGCUGAAACAGAGAGGACUUUGGGUGGAUAAAAAUCACAAAAGAUUGAUGUAGUCGAUUGUAUUUUUAAAAAUGUUUUCAACUUUAAAAAUGUUAAAAAGGAGGCAAAAUGGGACCCUGCUCUAAGAUGACAAACCAAGACAUGAUAUUUUUUACAUAAAGAGCCUAAAAAAUCAUUACAAAAAUCACUAAGAUCCUGAAAGCUAAAUUAGAUAGGAAAACAAAAAUCACAAGGAGGAAUCAAAAUGGCUUUAAAAACAUAUGGGAACAUGUUCAACCUUACCAGUAAUCAAAGAAAUGCAAAUUAAAAUGGCAAUACUAUUUUCAGCUGGCAAAUGUGUAACAUUUCCAAAAAAUGAGACUACCCAGACUGAUGGGGCUGUGGUAAAAUUGAUAGUGUCAUGCACUCACUGCAGGAGGUAGCAGGAGUCCUUUUGUAAAGCAAUUUGGCAAUGUAUAUCAACAGCCUUAAAAAGAUCCAUGCUUCUUAAUUCAAUAGUUCUACCUCCAAGACAGCGAUCAUCAAUGCAGCCAAAGUGUUUUGUAUUAAGAACUCUGUGUUGGUGUAUUUAUAAUGGUAAAAAGGAGAAUGUAAUUUAAAUGUUUAACAUGAGGAGGAAUGGUUAAGUCAGUGAUACAAUCCACUGGCUGGGUGAUUAUAAGCCAUUAGUAGUGGGUCAGACCAACCUGAGUCUAUUCUCUGCUCUAUCUUCUCUGUGUCUUUGAGGAUACUGCCUACAUUUCUGUAAAAUUGAACGAAUAGGAUCGUGCAGUAUGGAUGUGAGAAUUUGGCUAGGUAUUUGGUACAUUGCUUGGGAGGGGGUUCUUUUCUUGUUUCUCAGUUUUGUUUUGUUUUUUUGUUGUUCAGCACCUGUCACCGUUCUAUUGGAAUAGACAUUUCUGUGACUAAUAGGAUUCUUAUGGCCAAAGGAUUCUUCUAGGAAAGGAUUAGCAGGAGAAAAUGGCUCGAAGGACAUAAGGCCAGGAGAGAUGCAGCUGGAUGCAACUGCUACACAAAUUCACAGGGGGACUUUUAGGACCUCACAUCUCUUACCACCGCAUCCAUCAGCUCCUCUCCUGAAACUCUCAAUUCUACUGGGCUCAAAUCAAUGUUUUUGUAAUAGACAGUGGGGGUGAAAGUGAGAGCAAGGGAGAUGUUUGGGAUGCCAAGACGAAUAAACCAUGCCUUUCAUUGAAUAAAAAAUUACCUCACGCCUGUAAUCCCAGUACUUUGGGAGGCCAAGGAGGGCAGAUCACUGGAGGUCAAGAGUUCAGCACCAACCUGACCAACAUGGUGAAACCCUGUCUCUACUAAAAAUAUACAAACUAGCUGGGUGGGUUGGUGCAUGCCUGAAAUCCCAGCUACUUGGGGGGCUGAGGCAGGAAAAUCACUUGAACCUGGGAGGUGGAGGUUGCAGUGAGCCAAGGUUGUGCCAUUGCACUCCAGCCUGGGUGACAAAAGCAAAAGUACGUGUCAAAAAGAAAAAUUGUUUCUGAGAAAUUGAUGUUGUGCAAGACUUAGCAGCACAUAAUGUUCUCUCUCUAGAGGAGAACGUGAAGGAGCCUCUCUCUGUAGUGUUAAUGGUCUUGUUCCCAUCCUCAGUGUGAACAUAUUUUCCUUUUUUAGUGUAGUGGGCACGAUUUCUUACAAUUUUUCUUGCCUAAUGAGCUAAGAUGUCUUCAUAUUAAUCCUGGGUAUCCUUUCAUUAAAAAAAUUAACAUGCAUCAAGAAUAAAAAGCCAUUCCUGGAGAAAACCACCACUAGCUUUAUGACACACUUAGCAAGUAUUUGCUGAGUACCUAUUAUGGGUCCAGUUGGACACAUGAUACCAUUUAUACCCACUUAUUACCAGUCAUAUGUAUAACUUUAUCAUGUGUGGUGAACAGAUGCAGCAGUUAAUUCAGGGUCUCAGUCCUCAACAAGCAGUGAUCAAAUGGCAGAGACAUCCAGGUAAAAAAAUGGUAAUAGCAAUAACACAGAGUCAAGAGAGCUUGUCUGUGCUACAUAUGAGAUAACAUGCAAAAGACAGAGGGGAGGGUCUGUUCAGGACGAGGGUCAAGGAAGUGUUUCAGGAGGUGGUAAACUUGAUCUGAUCUUUGAGAGAGGAAUAAACUUGUCAACGUUUGAAAGCAAAACAUGCUGGUGCUUUUUCAGCACACAUGCAUCCCUUUAGACUGCAUAGUAUGACUUUGAAGGCAGAAGGUCUGGGAUUAAAUCCCAGUUCAGUCAGUCACCAGCUGUGUACAAUGGAAAUGCAACUCAACCUCUCUGAGCCUUACUUUCUGCAUACGUAAGAUGAGCAAAGCAAUACUUCCCCUAUAGGGGACUAUACAGGAAUAAAUCCUCCUCCCUAUUUCCAGGGGUGCCCAGCCUUCUGGUGAUCACAGACAGAAAACACUUCUACAGUGGGGCUUUCUGUCUUUGUGUUGCCAUCUGUCUUCCCCUCCAUGGUCUCUUAACAGUGAGCCUGGUGAUUCAGUGAUGAGCUUGGGAAAGCCACCUCCCUUCCCUGUACCUCAGUUUUCUCAUCUAUCAAAUAAAACAGGUAAACAAAAAUAGUGCCUUUGAGCUAUAAUGUUCUGAGAGUGUUCUAGGUACAGUAGACAAUAGACGCUAAGGUCCUGUGGUGAUAUAUUAGAGGUGGUAUGGUUGGUUAAAGAGGAAGAAUAAAGGAGGCAGUGGCUACAGUGAGGCUGUAGAGGAAGGUGGGAAUCUGUGACUCAGGGAGGUGAUAUAACUUGCCCAAGGCCAUCUACCUUAUGAAUAGGGGAUCUGGGAUUUGGUCCAAGGUCUAGAGCAAAAUCCAUGCUCUUGCAAUCACCACAGAUUGGGUGAAACUUACCCUCUUGAAAGUCCCCCACUAGCAAGACUGACAUUUGCCAAAAGAGAGCUUUUGUUGAAGGGCGUUAGAAUGAGACCCAGAGAGCCUGACCGAAUUAUCGUCAUUCUACCUGCCACGGAACAUUUAAAACCAGCCACACUGGGAGGAAGUGUUUGCUGGCCUCUGAUAAGGGUUUACAUGGAGCAAUGCCCUGCCUUGCUCACCACACUCCAACAGAAUCCAGCUGUUUAUUUGAUGAAAACUGCAGUUCGUCUUUAUUUACAUUUCCCAUGAUGGUGAGGGUCAGCAUGCUGCAACCUAGCUGAGACGAGUAGGACUUUGAACCAUUGGGCUGAUAUGUUGCUCAAAGCUGUCGAAUUUUACAGACCCAACUAGGGCAAGAGUUGCGGGUGAGGGGCGGUUAAGGACACCAUUGCAACUCUCCAGGGCACCUCCACUGGAAUUUUGGAAGCAGACCUUUUGUGCUAGGCAAAGCAGACUUAGAAACAGAAUGUACCCUCCUAAUGAUUUGCUGUUAGGAGAGUGAGCAAGGAAAAGAGAAAAUGAGGGAGAUAGAAUGAGCUUUGCAAGAAUGUAUUUACAAUUAAAUUGCAUUUUAAAGGCAAUGUGGAAAUCCUUCCUCUGCAGAGAAGUGAAAUGGAGACAAGCCAGCAAAUUGUAGUCGAAAGUGUACCAGCUUUGAAGACAAGAAGACUUCAGUUGAAAUGCUGGAUCUACAAUGACUGGUUGUAUGACCUUGUCCAAUUAACCUAGGUGAAGAGACUUGCUCUGCCACCCAGGCUGGAGUGCAGUGGUGUAAUCUCAGCUCAAUGCAGCCUCCAUCUCCCAGGUUCGAGCCAUUCUUGUGCCUCAGCCUCCCAAGUAGCUGGAAUUACAGAUCCAAAGUAUCCUGGGACAGCAGACAUUGAUAGAUGGGAUAGAAAAGGAAAUGAAGUUAACAUAAGCCCAGACAAACUUCUUGACUUCAUAUGUAAAGCCAUAAAAAUGAUACUUCUUGUGACCUUACACACAGGCUCCCAGUAAAUGAGGUGAAGCCACGGAAAAUGUUUUGUUUUUGUCCUUCUUUCUAAUUCUUAUUUUUUAUUAAGAACUAAGCUGGAUGAAUUAUGGCCACCAUGCAAAUGGAGUCUGAAUAUAUAAUUGUGUAUUUUUGAUAUUUCUUUUUUACUUAUUAGCUCUUUGGAUUCACUCAUUAAACAAACAUUGAUUAAGUAUCCACAACAGACACCAAACACUACUCCUAUCAUUAAGGAACUCCCAACAGAAAAAGGAAAAUAUAAGCACAUCAUUUAUAACACUGUAACUUGGUUCUAAAAUAAGAUUAAUAAUAUGAUCUACAAUAUGACAUAAGAACUCAAUCAAAUGUGGAAGGAAGGGAAGGCAUACAGAUUCAUUCAUUGAGAAGAGUGUGGAUGGAAGAGAUUUGGAAGAAGAUAAUGGGUUCAGUUUUAGACUUCUGAGUGUGAGGCACCAGUGGAACUAUUUCACGGCAGCAAGAUAUGUUCAUAUGUAGCUUAUGUGGGAAUCUGAGCUGAAGCUUAUAUCUGAGUGGCUAAGGUGAUCAUGGUAAUAUUCUCCCAGAGGGAGAACAACUAGGUUGAACAAGUAGAAGAACUAGAAGGAGUUAAUCAGGCAAAGAGCAGUGGCAAGGAAUUUUUAGAUGGAGAGAAUAGAUGUUGAAACAUUCAGAUGCAUCUGUGAGCAUAAUAGGAUUCAAAGAAUGGUAAGUGGACUACAUGGCUAAAAUAAAGAGUGUGAGGGGAAGAGAUCAAGGAAUGUUGCUGGAAGGAAAAGUGGGAGUCAGACCUUGCAGGAUUUUUUAUUUGUGCGGAGUUUUAUGCAAAGGAAUAGCAUCAUCAGGUUUUGGAAAUAGAAUGUAGCCUGGAUUGCAGAAAGCAGAACUGGAAUUGCAGGGACCACCUAGGAGAGUGUUGUAGAAAUUCAGCUGAGCAGUGAUAGUCACUUUCACUAAGAUGUUCUUGGCAAAAAUGAAGAUAAAUGGAGGCCUAGAACUACUUGGUGGGUAUAAUAAAUAGAAGUGUUUUCACCUGAGAGUAAGAGAGCAGUAUGAAUUCUGUUGAAGCCUCUUCACUAAUGGGUAAAUACAAGUCCAUUCACAGAGAAGAGUGUGGAUGGAAGAGGAGCUUUAGGAGACAAUAAUGUGUUCCAUUUUGGACUUCUGAGUGUGAGGCACCAGUGGUACUAUUCUAUGGCAGAAGGAUAUGUUCUUAUGUAACUUAUGGUGGAUUUCUGGGAGCAUUGAGCUUCAGAAUGAAUCUGCAAGCCCCACACUCUCACAUCUUUUUCUUUGCUCACUGUGAGCAACUCUAAAUUUCUUUUCAGACACAUGAUCCCCAAAUUCUCUCUUUUGUCUAAGCUAGUUUGAAUUAUGUUUAUACUUUUUUAUAUUUGGAUAAUCCUGACUAAUACAUCAUUAGUGGGAUGAAAGAAAAAGUGUAGUUGUUUUAGAAAAGAGGUUUGUUGAUUCAUUCAUUCAACAAACAUUAACUGUUCUAUGCCCUGGAGAUUCAGCAUUGAACAUAGGUGGUAUGGUAUGUGCAUAGUUGAAGAUGAAUAAAUCUCUUUGACAAUAAAUUCCAUCCAAAAGAAAAAUUUAUAGCCCAUUUGUAGUAUUACUUAAUCUUUAUUUCUAUGGUAUUGUACACGUAGCAAUAAUACUGAUUUUUUUGUUUAACACUAAGAAAGGGCAAACAUUUUCUUUUAUGGAAGAUAGCCAAAAUAGAACUUCUCCCUUAGGUACUGUGUUGGUUUUGGGAAUGAAGAUGGAAACAGAGUCACACUUUCCUGAACUGGGUCUUCUUGUGAUUUUUUUUCCCCAUGGUGGGCAUUCACCUAUGCUUUUAGCCAAGGUGAGCACAUAUAGAAGAAGAUGGCACACUGUUAAGACCCAGGAGGAUGGAAGCUGAUUUCAAAACAGACCUUCUGCACCAGGGAGCGUGGUAUCUUGUUUUGCUGCCAAUUAAUUAGUGAUGAGUUUGUCAUGUUGCCUGUUAUCCAGGAUGAUUAAUCCGAGCCUGAAUCCAACUAAACCAUUAAGGAAAGUUCACAGCAAGAUAAGCUGUGAGUGACAAUGUUACCCUUUAGAAGAAGGGGAGAUGACAGAAUGAAACACAACCCCCUGCCUCCCCCUCGCUGUCUUCCAGCCUGUCGUGGUAAAAUCCCUGGGCUCCUACUGUGAUAAAGAGCUUGGGAAGGCAUGAGUUAGAGUCACACAAUCAGAGACUCUUAGGACUUAAAGGGGCCUUGGAGCUUUGCUUCUCCAACCUGCUCAUCAUACAGAUGAAGGGAUGAAGGCCCAGAGAGGUCAUUUUACUUACUUAUAAAUACAGAGCAAGUUGUUGACAGGGCUGGGACUAGAGCUCCAUCAUUUAGCACUUAUUGUGGUCUAUUUCCUACUGUAUCACAGAGUUCUGAGCUCACAGCAGCAGUCCUCUUCUGCAGAAGAGAGUUGCAGUGCUGAACCCACUGUUUAAGGACCUGAGAUCCAAUUUCUAGACUAGCUUCUGGCACCAACUUGCUACAUGAACUGCAGCUGACUGGCUGCUCUAUGGGGUGCUUAGCUUAUUUCUCUAUGGCUUUUCAUUCUUCAUUAAGCUGUGUCUAUUUCCUUAUGUGGUGGUCUCAGAGAAGCAUUUCAAGAGAGUGAAGGCCUAUACCACAAGACCCUUUGAAAUUUAGACUCCAAAACUUACAUAAUAUCACUUUGACCUUUUUCUAGUGGUCAAAGCAAGUUACUGAGCCAACCCAAACCCCAGGCAUUGGGAAACAAACCCAAGCUCUUGGUAAGACAAGUGACAAAGUUACAUUGCUUAGGGUCCUAUGAGGUAUAACUUAUUUUUGCAGUAAUCUUUGCAAACCACAACUUCCAUAUUUGGCAGUCUUGAAAUGUGCCCAAUCCCCACAGUAACAGCAAAAUAACCUACUAACUCCAUUACCCACACACUUUAUGUAUUGCCUCUUUUUCAUGUUUCUCAUGAUGUGCUCUCAGUUUUGUUUUUGUGUAAGGGGGAGUCUUAUGAGAGAAAUGAACAUGUAUAUGUGGAUCAUGUAAUCCAACAUAUGCAUGUAUGUGUGUUCUAAUUCAUGUUUUAAUUUGAUAUUUGAAUGACUUAUUUCCCAGAAAAGAUGUCUCAUGACACCAGAGAAUAUGUAACACUAAAGGAAAAAGCCCAAAUUCAAAAUAGAUGCAAAGCUAAUUUAAAAAUAGAAGAGUAGAGCAAUAAGAUGGAGCCAGAAAUAAGGCUUAAAAAUGCAUACUCUUGUAUCAUUAACACUUGUGAUAGGCAAACUGCAACCUUGACUCUGAACUGCGUAGGAGAGGUUAUGAAGAUCACAACACAUAACUACGGCUAAGAGAUAGGGAGAAAGCAGUGGCUUUUAAUCUCUUGGUCACAGAGCCUCCUGUCAAGAUUGCAUUCCUUUUCUUUGGAUCUCAUAACCUACUUAUAUCUGAGCCUAUAUAUUUUUCCUCUUUUUUUGUACUGUGAGUAGGAUUCCUCAUGAUCAAUGUCUUCUGCUUUAAGACGUAAUCUUAAGGAAAAGCAGAGACCAAAUGUGGAGCCAUAAUGGCCUCUUGGGUCUGUCCAUGGUGCUGAGCUAGGAAAAGCCAAAGAUGGACCAAGACCCUUGUUUCUAAGAGCGUCUUAUGCUGUGACUGACAAGAGUCGAUUACAAUUCAAACUAUGUGUGUGCUUGUCUGGACUGCUUCUCUUAAACUAGGCCACUCCUAACAUAGUCUUUAUAAAAUUAUGCAGCCGGUAUCCUGUAACAGAGGAGUUGGAUAUUCCUGACCAGAUUAUAGAAAGGCUUGGGUUUCCCUCUGUGUUCCCACCUCACCUCUUGAAAUAACAUCAUUGACUUUGUGCUUUUCUGAUCCUUUUACUUAGACAAUGGACCUAGCUGUGUGCUCAUUCCAUAUCUAGGGGGCAAACUUUCUAAGUGUUUAUGUUUUUCAUCUUUUCAGUUAUUUCUCAAAUAUCCUGUGUGUACUGUUUUCUCUCUCUCUUCUUGGUAGCCUCCAUCAUGUAAUCAAGCCCAAGUCCCCAAGAUCCAGUCCUUGUCCCACAGCUGGUUGUCUUCUUCCUAUUAAAUAGAAUCAGCCUCUCAGAUGAGAGGAAAUAAUACAAAAAAAAAAGAAAAAGAAUUCUUAUCUUCAAAACAAGAGCGGAGAAUGGAUAAAGGACUCUGAGGCUGUCUUGUAUACUGUACCCUGAGGGGUUGUCUAGAAAGUGAUAUUUCAAAACACUUUCCGGAAAAUAAAAUUGCCAACAGUUCUAAGGAAUCCAGUUGAAUGAGGACACUGCUUUCCUGAUCCCAGCCGUCAUCUUUUGUACAUAAAGUAAAUAUAUUUGCUUGCUUUUGCAGAAAAACCAGUAUUAAUCUCUAUUCCAAAGAGAAGAAGUGCUGCUCUCAUCAAAUGAGAAUCUUUUUUCAAGAAUAAGAUGAAGCCAACAAUACCCAGGGUUUCCCCUUGCAAACUGCUGUUUCUCUUGGCUACUGUAUUUACUGGAACAAUCAAAGAGACAAACAGAUUCCAAAUAGCCUUCACGUAUUACCCAGGAUUAAAAUGAGUACCCAGCUGUGGUAGACAACUUCAGAACAACUUAUUUCAGA
This is a non-coding RNA of Callithrix jacchus (white-tufted-ear marmoset), 9181 nucleotides long. NCBI's taxonomy places the organism in Eukaryota, Metazoa, Chordata, Mammalia, Primates, Cebidae. The record is from RefSeq and is a predicted model, not a curated record.